CUUGUGUCUGCUGCCUCAGCGUUGCAUUUCUCUGCUUUCCUCCAUUGUCUCUGAUCUUUAGCCUCUUCUUUCUUCUCCUCCUAGGCUUUUUUAAACCCUGAUGGAGAAGGUCAGCUCUUUCCUUCAAGCCGUAGCGGACCUUGCCCUCGAGUGUUUGAUUCUUUCUGGUGAUGCUGCUGGUCCCUAGGUGCUGAUGGAGUCUUUGACCGUGGUUUCCGUUGUUUACUAGGCUUAAUGCCGUCGCACGUUCUUUAGAGAACCAGUUGCAGAGUGGCACUUGGAGUAGAUUGAGAGAUUACCAGGCAGUGAUGGGCAGUGGCUGAGGAGGAUGGAUAGACUUGCACAGAAGCCCAGCCCCAGCGCCCAAAGACUCUGCUUCAGGUAACCAGCGUGUUUAUGUCGGAAUUUUUAGGAUCACCUCUAGUAUUUGUGAGGUCCGUUUGGGUUUUUAUCACACUGCCCUUGUAAGCCCUGCAUUGGUGCUGCGUGAGUAGGUUUGCUUAGCGAAUCAGGGAGGAGUGAUAGAUGAACCCUGGGCUUUAUCGGAGGGUGUAUGUGAUCUGGGCACUGGCAACACUUUGUAAACUUGCACUUGGCACGGGAGUUGGUUUCAUGGUUCACAAAGCCCUGCUACUUUUCCAAUAGUAGUCUGACUUCAUACACACCAAGGGAUGCUUUCUCUGGCUCUUACUUAUUGACAUUUCCCUUUUUCUUCUGCUUGGAUUUAUCCCUAGCUCCUGUUGAAACAGCAUUUUUGAGCUCAUUAAAUCUGUUAAUGUGUCUGUAAUGCUUAGGACAGAGCCUUACACAGAAAGCACGCCAUAAGUAUUAGCUGUUGUAAUUGUGUUUUUAUUUAGAGCUUCCCCACCGUUUCUCCCCUCUCCCUCACUACUUAUGGUGGUCGUGCUUGGCAAAAGAAGGAAGCCAAUGGCUCUUGGGGCAGAGGAGGAGGCCACAGGCUUUGUCUUUUCAGCUCUGUCCAGAGAUCUCAGAAAGCUUGCAGAGGCCCCGAAGGUAACGG
Molecule: long non-coding RNA, 1021 nt
Filed under: Lynx pardinus (Iberian lynx)
Lineage: Eukaryota; Metazoa; Chordata; Mammalia; Carnivora; Felidae
Source: RNAcentral